UACGUAGGGUGUAAGCGUUAAUCGGAAUUACUGGGCGUAAAGCGUGCGCAGGCGGUUGUGCAAGACAGGUGUGAAAUCCCCGGGCUUAACCUGGGAACUGCACUUGUGACUGCACAGCUGGAGUGCGGCAGAGGGGGAUGGAAUUCCCAGUGUAGAGGUGAAAUCGUAGAUAUUGGGAAGAACACCGUGGCGAAGGCGAGCCAUCGUCGGACCGAGACUGAGCGCAUGAGGCGGC
RNAcentral lists this ribosomal RNA (235 nucleotides) under uncultured bacterium. RNAcentral's name for it is "partial 16S ribosomal RNA". It matches the Rfam family "Bacterial small subunit ribosomal RNA", at positions 524 to 754 of the family's 1533-position model. The record is from RNAcentral.